This 810-nucleotide ribosomal RNA is filed under the name uncultured bacterium. Its description in RNAcentral is "bacterial SSU rRNA". It matches the Rfam family "Bacterial small subunit ribosomal RNA", at positions 554 to 1361 of the family's 1533-position model. The record is from RNAcentral.
UUGGGCGUAAAGAGCUUGUAGGCGGUUUGCCGCGUCUGCCGUGAAAGCCCGGGGCUUAACUCCGGGUGUGCAGUGGGUACGGGCAGGCUAGAGUGCAGUAGGGGAGACUGGAAUUCCUGGUGUAGCGGUGAAAUGCGCAGAUAUCAGGAGGAACACCGAUGGCGAAGGCAGGUCUCUGGGCUGUUACUGACGCUGAGAAGCGAAAGCAUGGGUAGCGAACAGGAUUAGAUACCCUGGUAGUCCAUGCCGUAAACGUUGGGCACUAGGUGUGGGGGACAUUCCACGUUUUCCGCGCCGUAGCUAACGCAUUAAGUGCCCCGCCUGGGGAGUACGGCCGCAAGGCUAAAACUCAAAGGAAUUGACGGGGGCCCGCACAAGCGGCGGAGCAUGCGGAUUAAUUCGAUGCAACGCGAAGAACCUUACCAAGGCUUGACAUACACCGGACCGCUGCAGAGAUGCAGUUUCCCUUCGGGGCUGGCGUACAGGUGGUGCAUGGUUGUCGUCAGCUCGUGUCGUGAGAUGUUGGGUUAAGUCCCGCAACGAGCGCAACCCUUAUCCUAUGUUGCCAGCACGUGAUGGUGGGGACUCAUGGGAGACUGCCGGGGUCAACUCGGAGGAAGGUGGGGAUGACGUCAAAUCAUCAUGCCCCUUAUGUCUUGGGCUUCACGCAUGCUACAAUGGCCGGUACAGUGGGUUGCGAUGCCGUGAGGUGGAGCUAAUCCCUAAAAGCCGGUCUCAGUUCGGAUCGAAGUCUGCAACUCGACUUCGUGAAGUUGGAGUCGCUAGUAAUCGCAGAUCAGCAAUGCUGCG